UACGGAGGGCGCAAGCGUUGUUCGGAAUUACUGGGCGUAAAGCGCACGUAGGCGGACUGGAAAGUCAGAGGUGAAAUCCCAGGGCUCAACCUUGGAACUGCCUUUGAAACUAUCAGUCUGGAGUUCGAGAGAGGUGAGUGGAAUUCCGAGUGUAGAGGUGAAAUUCGUAGAUAUUCGGAGGAACACCAGUGGCGAAGGCGGCUCACUGGCUCGAUACUGACGCUGAGGUGCGAAAGCGUGGGGAGCAAACAGG
Molecule: ribosomal RNA, 253 nt
Filed under: uncultured bacterium
Lineage: Bacteria
Description: partial 16S ribosomal RNA
Rfam family: Bacterial small subunit ribosomal RNA
Source: RNAcentral